AAGAAAGGCUCGUGAAACGAUUCCCUCCACGGAACGUCAAUUGCAAAAUGGAGGCAAUACGACAGUACGUCGCGUUCGGAGAUUUUCAACAGAUUUACAUACCAAUUAAGGGAAAAAUUCUACGAGAAGCGAGAGCUAGCACUAUCCGUUUCCUUGUACUUCGAUGGCAGUGGACGCUCUCCCAAGUCACGACUCCCUUGUCCCUACCCCUAGAAAUUAAAUUGCGAGAGGCACGUAAGCCCGCGGUGCACUGCAUCCAAUCGGAUGUCGGAUAGCAGCUGAGCUUCAUAGUGUAACACAUGCGAUUGGUUCAGCCUCCUACGCCUAGAGUGCGAACUGUGAAGAACCCUGUCAAUUGGAAGAAUUUGCAUGAGCAUUGUAGAGUAUUGAGAGGUAUUACCCUUGUAACAGAUUGCAAAAACCGAAUUGAAAUAUAUAGAGCUGGGCACAGAGUCGUUUCGCGACUUUUGUCAUGUAAUUCUAGCUACAAUGAAAUCAGUCAUUUCGUGGAAACCUCCAGAAAGAUAUGGAAAAUCUGUAGAGGAUACGUAUAAGAAGGACACGUCAUCUUGAUAUUAGAGUAGUUACCAAGAUAGUAAUUUUUUAUUGCUCUUCCAAAUGCACGUUCUUGGAAUGAACGUUGUAUGAUUAUUCUGGCCAUUGGAAGCUUCUUCUACGUUUUCUGUUCGGAAAAAAUAGACGCCAUUGUGUGUCUAAACGUAAAUAAUGUUCGAACAAUGUCGAGUGAUACCGAGCGAUAUAGAGCGAUGUCGAGCUGGCGAAAUUAUUGAAUUUUGGCGCUUUUGUCAAUUGAACUUAACGGCGGAAAUUGAACUGUACUAAAGUCGAUUAUAUUAAUAAGUUUCUUGAUUUUUUGUGGUAUUGUGACCUGAAUUACACUUCCAUUGUACCAAAAAUAUUUUGUAAAUAUAAACACAAUACCAGAUAUUAAUUGUUAUUAAUGAUAAAUAUCAAUGAAUUUCUGAUGUCUUUUGCAUUUUACAUUGUACCUUUAUAAAACAUAUGUUAUACUAAUAUUCAUUUCAAAAAACAAUAAAAUACUGAUAUAAAUAUAAAAUGAUAUUUACAUUGAUGACGUAAUCCUUAUAAUUACCGAUCGUACCAAUGUCAUUUAUUCGAUAAUUGAUAACAAUAGCAAUAAAAAGAUUUACGUUUACGAAUUUUUUGUGAAACAAAUUUGUUUAAAAAAUACUUUCUUGACAAAUAAUUGUAGUUAUAGAUUAUAGAUGGUUCUAAUCGGGAAAACAUAUUUAAGAAAUGAUUUCAUUUUGUCAGGAAAACAAAGUUAAGUUUAUUAAAAAAUUGUAUAGAUCAUUUACAUUAAUUUAGUGUUAUGAAUUGCGCUUCUUUAUUAUUAUCAUUAUAAUUAUUAAAAUAACAACCUAAUUAAUAAUGAAAUGCAUUUUAUGGUGAUAGAUUUGUUAAUUUAUAAAAAUGAAGUAUAUACGUGCAAAUCAAUUUUGAUAACCCAAUCAUGUAAAUACAAUUAACAACAUGUAGAUAACAUGACAUUUCUCAUACAUAAUCCAAUA
This 1553-nucleotide unclassified non-coding RNA is filed under the name Bombus terrestris (buff-tailed bumblebee). RNAcentral's name for it is "misc RNA ENSBTSG00005031386.1". Lineage: Eukaryota; Metazoa; Arthropoda; Insecta; Hymenoptera; Apidae. The record is from RNAcentral.